Molecule: ribosomal RNA, 487 nt
Filed under: uncultured phototrophic eukaryote
Lineage: Eukaryota
Description: bacterial SSU rRNA
Rfam family: Bacterial small subunit ribosomal RNA
Source: RNAcentral
UAUGGCGAGCUGACGGACAUACCGCGUGAGGGAUGACGGACUUUGGUCUGUAAACCUCUUUUCUCACGAAAGAACUUCUGACCGUACUUGAGGAAUAAACAUCGCCUAACUCCGUGCCAGCAGCCCCGGUAAUACAGGGGAUGCCCGCGUUAUCCCGAAUCUUUGGGCGUAAAGCGCCUGUGGGUUGUUUAAAAUGUCUGUUGUGAAAAACUAGGGCUCAACCCUAGGAAAGCACUGGAAACUGCUAUACUCGUGUAUGAUAGGGGUAUAGGGAAUUUCUCGUGUAGCGCUGAAAUGCGUAGAUAUUAUAAAGAACACCGGUGGCGAAAGCGCUCUACUGUGUCAUUACUGACACUCACAGGCAAAAGCUCGGGUAUCAAAAAGGAUUAGAUACCCCUGUAGUCCUAGCCGCAAACGAUGGAUACUCCAUGUUGCGUUUAUUAUGCCCUGUCCUAUCUAACGCGUUAAGUAUCCCGCCUGGGGAGUA